This 622-nucleotide long non-coding RNA is filed under the name Chinchilla lanigera (long-tailed chinchilla). Its description in RNAcentral is "lncRNA (ENSCLAG00000024979.1)". Lineage: Eukaryota; Metazoa; Chordata; Mammalia; Rodentia; Chinchillidae. The record is from RNAcentral.
CCUGCCUCAGCCUCUGGAGUGCUGGGAUUACAGGCGUGUGCCACCAUGCCCGGCUAGGAGAACGAUCCUGGAAGUGGGAGUUGUCACUCUGGAAUGACACCCAGACAGACAGCAAGACGGACCACAGUGGGUGGUGGCAUCGUACUCCACACCCCCUGAGAAUAUCAGCUGGUCACUGCUGCAGACGUUCAGAGACAGACUCGGAAAUGAAGAAAGCCAGCAAGAGACCGGCUGAGGCCUUGCCAGCAGACCAGCCGGCCAGGGAGGCAGAGAGGAUGAGCGGCCAGGAGGAAAGGGCUGAAAACCGGAUGGAAACAGGAGCAGAAACUGCUGGAGAAGCCAAGAUGUGAGGCCACUGGAGCGAGGGUUUCACUGGGAGAGAUGUUCCUGAUUUCCCUGUGUGGCUUUUAAUACCAAUCCAGCCCUUAACCAACAAUCUUGUAACAGCCAAACUGUUCUUUAUUAAACGUUUUUGUGAGGAAAAAAAAAAAAAGAAUGGAAUGCAAAAUGGUUAGAGUGCAUCAUAGAUAAUUAGGGUCAGUGUUGAGUAUUGCUUGUUGGAGCUCACGUUUUACUUAUGUCUGUGUGUGUGUGCCCACGUUUGUGGGUGCAUUUCUCCCUC